CAGCACUCCAGCCUGAGUGACAGGAAAAAAAAGAAAAAAAAAGAAGAUUUAAAUAAAGGAAGGGAUAUGAUAUGUUUAUGGAUUAAAAACAAGUUAACAAACACAAAAAUUUAUGUAUAAAUUUCAUGUAAUCCCCAUUAAAAUCCAGGCCGAUGUGUGUGAGUGUGUGUGUUGGGGGUUGCAGAGGGGUUACCAAGCUAAAGUUUACAUGGGAAUGGACAGGGUAAGAAUAGCAAGAUGACCUUGAAGACGACCAAAGCGAGGGACUCAGACCACAGGUGCCAAUGCCCACUACAAAGCUACAGGAGUCUGGACCAGGCCAUACCGUGGUCAGUGAAGUGGAUUGUAGGGUCCAGAAACAGACACACACACGGGACGCUUGGUUCACAACAGAUUCAGGAUUACAGAUCAAGGAAACGGGGGACGUCUUUACUAAAGGUGCCAGCGCAGUUGCAGAUCCGUACAGAAUGCAGGAAGCUGGAGCCCCACGUUUUCCCACGUGCAGUCUGCAGAUGCAAAUACGGAGGCUGAAACAAACACGUCUGGAAGAAAUCACAGGGGAGUGUCUUCCCUGCUGUGCCCAGGAUCCGUGGGUGAGCAAGACAGGGUCCCUGUCCAGAUGGGGUUUCAUUUGGGGGUGCAGAGCGGGUGCAGAAGGGCUCCCAGCGCCAGCCGGAGCGCUACAGACAUUGAACAGACUAAUGGUAGUGAUGGCAGAAAACAUCAAAUGGUUAAAACUCCGUGAAUUUAUCAAACCACUUUCGAAACCUCCUGUCCUUCUCGGAUGCUGUUAGGGCACCAAGCCGUGACGCUGAGAACUGGCAAAUAGGGGGAGGAAGCAAGCAUGGGUCCCGGCUUUCCUGCAGGAACUUUCUCACCCAGCCGAGCAGCUCACGGGAGAAAGCUCUUUCCAGAGGAUCUCCAGCGAGUAAACGCAGAAGGAGCAAUGGGAUCCGAAGAUCGCCGUUUUGCAAACCUUCAUGAAACGCCAGAGAUGAGAGGCACCAGGACACCCUGUGCCCCCACAGUGUGUUGAGGGCAGGAGCCGGCACUGCCUGGCAAACCCGAGGCUGGAGGAAAUGCAAGGAUGGAGGAGCUCGUCAAACCCAGCCAGGCAGAAGCAGCAGCAGCCCAAGAGUGGGCAUCCCACGGGACGAACAGCCCGGGAUCCACACGCAGAUGCCCAGAAAGCGAGAGGACAGAGGGCGCGGGGCCGGAAGACACACCUCGGCCAGCGCAGCAAGGAAAACACAUGACCGCAGCUGUUUUCAGUCAGGGAAAUGUGAACAGGCUGAAUAUUUAGGACUCAAUUGUGAUGAUUACAUUGCGACUAUGUUUUCUAAAAAGGAGAAAUUUUAUCUGCUGGGGGCACAUACCACAGUGUUUAUGGACGCAGUGGAAGGACAUCUUCGUUUGAUUUCAAAUACCCCACGGGAGGAUUUAUGAGGCUAGAGGGAGCCUGGCUGUCACUGAAGCUUGGUGAUGCAUUCAUGGAUUCAUUUUCCUAAUAAAAAGUUAUAGAAUUAUGUAAGAGUGGAUAAAAGAAGGACAUUAAACAAAGGAAGUAAAAGGAAAUCUCCUUA
Non-coding RNA from Macaca mulatta (Rhesus monkey), 1583 nucleotides. The record is from RefSeq and is a predicted model, not a curated record. Lineage: Eukaryota; Metazoa; Chordata; Mammalia; Primates; Cercopithecidae.